Molecule: long non-coding RNA, 1418 nt
Organism: Cyprinus carpio (common carp)
Lineage: Eukaryota; Metazoa; Chordata; Actinopteri; Cypriniformes; Cyprinidae
Exons: 3
Source: RefSeq, a predicted model, not a curated record
GAAGAAAAUGCAAACACUUAUAUAAUGCUCCCUAUUGUUACAGUUUUUCUCAAUCGAUUUGGUACAUUUCUCCAAACUCAGGUAACAGCUCUCAAAACAGUUAACACAGUGAUCAGUACACUUUGUAACUGUCCUAAACAGAUAGUAAAUUCUCCUUCAUUUCAUACAAAUCACAAAUCAAAAGCAUAAUUUUCUCAAAACACUGUGCACAAAAAUCCCAAAUUUUAUCACAGCAGUUCAUACAGCCAACCAAAUCUUUAAUAUAUCAGGAAAAACAUUUGUAACUUUUUCUUUGUUCUUCACAAAGAUCACAAGCAUUUUUGUACCAUUUUCAAAACACAACAAACAAAACUCUGUGAAUUGUAAAAUAGUCAGUUGCACACCUUGUGUCUUCAAUAAACGCCAAAUUGUUAUCUGAUGAGUUAGUAAUCCACUCAACACAGAAAAAAGCCAAUUUCCUAAUUGUUCACACAGCUGUCUUACGUAAUUACAACAACUACAAAAGGGGAAGAGAAGAAAAACAAAGAAGACAAAUGAGGAGAUACAGUAAGACAAAAAAAAGAAGUAUGAGCAGUGGAAACAGAAGAGGUUUAAGAGUGAGAGGUGGUGGCCAGGGUAGAGGGAGAAGAGGAAGAGGAGAAAGAGAAAGAAGAGCUGAAGAUGUAGGAGGAAGAGUGAGAAGAGAUUGAAGAGAUGGAUAGAUUGGAGGGCAAUGGUAUAGUGGAAAGAGAAAAUAUAAGAAGGGGUGGACAGGGAUGAAGAGGAGGCCAAGGUGUAAGAGGAGGGAGGAGAGGUAGAAUGAGGGUAGGGUACAUGCGUGUUUCAAAUGAAAUCAGAGCCACACUUAUUGACCAUGUCAUAAAUCAUGGUCUCUCACCGAGAGAAACUGGUCAGAGUUCAGCCCAAUAUAAACCGAUCCACAGUGGCUUCAAUUAUCCGUACAUUUCAGAGGGAAAACUGUUGAACAAGAGCAUGCCAUUGUUGACAUGGUGGUCAAGAACAACACCCUCCGCCUCAAAGAAAUUCAGCAAAGAAUAACACAGGACAAUCAACUGUUCCACAAUAUCCACCAAUGCAGUCUCUCCACAAUUGACCGUGUUCUAAGAAAUGCUAUCCGAAUGAAGCAAGUAUACAAAGUGCCCUUUGAGAGGAACUCCGUUAGAGUGAAGGAGUUGCGAUUCCAGUUUGUUCAAAGAAUCUUGGAGUUGGAUAGCAGUGCAACUCAUUAUGAGUACCUGUAUAUUGAUGAAGCAGGCUUCAAUCUUCAAAAAAAAGGAGAAGAGGGAGAAAUGUGAUUGGACAUCGUGCUACAGUCAAUGUCCCUGGACAACGAGGAGGCAACAUCACUCUCUGUGCAGCAAUUUCUACAACUGGUGUUGUGGCACACAAUGCUGUCUUGGGACCAUACAACACAGCAA